GCCUUUGUAGUGUAACGGUAACACGCCCCAGAUCAAGUAUUGACCACCAUCUUUGCACUUUUCUGGGGAUCCCGAGUUCGACUCUCGGCAAGGACG
Molecule: non-coding RNA, 96 nt
Organism: Mycena vitilis
Lineage: Eukaryota; Fungi; Basidiomycota; Agaricomycetes; Agaricales; Mycenaceae
Source: the annotation of a GenBank genome assembly